This is a long non-coding RNA of Gasterosteus aculeatus aculeatus (three-spined stickleback), 6311 nucleotides long. The record is from Ensembl. NCBI's taxonomy places the organism in Eukaryota, Metazoa, Chordata, Actinopteri, Perciformes, Gasterosteidae.
UCCCUAGUUUAUGUUUUGAUCAGAGUUGUGAUUAAAGAUUUUCAGAUUUCAAAGUGGGCCACGGCAUUCUUGAGUUUGGGAACCGCUGUUCUACAGUUAAUCUUACAUAGUAUAAAGAUAUUCUUAAAUUGUGAAGCAGUGUCAAAUAAAAAUUUGAAUGGCGCUGUUAAGAGAUUUUCUUAUUUUAUCUCCGUUUAUUACUGGUUUAAAUGGCUAUAGAAUGUUUUCUGAUCGUGCUUGUUCUAUAAAUAAAGAUAAUUAUCCUGAUAGCCUUCUUUGAUCAUUUCAGUAAGAAAAUAUGCAUCGGCGAGGACUCUUAAAUCAGAAGGAUAAUGGCAAAUUUUACAUUGAUACUGGAGGGGACAAAGUGGGACUUGACGUCAAAUAUGUCAAAGCCUUAAGUAAGUUGAAUGUUUGGAUUUUGUAAUCCUAAUUAAAAUAUGAAUAAGCUUGACAGAUGUUUUUUCUGUCUGUGUAUGAAAUAGGUCGCGGCAUCUUCACCUCGGCUCCAUUUGAUAAAGGAGAAGAAUAUAGAGGUUAACUAAUAAACCAUAAAGAAUGUCAGAGGAGACAGACUUUUUCUCCUUUACUGCGAAUGAGCUGACAUUCUAGCAAGGAAAAAAUGGUGGGUCCAGAAGAGGGACAAAGAGAGCGUGGUCUAAAGUUGAGGUUCAAGCAGUAAUGCGGCACUUCAAAGACCCAUAUUCGUAAAGGUCACCUGGCCACCAAGAACGAAUGCAGUCACUGCAAGUUGGUGGAAGGACCCGUCUUGGAACAAAGAACUGUGCAAAAUGUCAGAGAGUUCGUCCGUAAUCGGAACAGCUGAAAAAAGACUGUAAACAAACAUACACUUAUUUUAUUUGUUCUACAUCCUUUUAUCCCACGGCACGGGCAGUCUUCUAAUCUGUUGACAUACAAAGGUAUACAAGCACAUGUCAUUCACCUCAUCAUAAUGUAAUAAUACUCUAAUACUGUCAAGAGACGUCAUAAAUUCUUAAUGGCUGAAAUCUUCAAGUUUGUACACGUUUUCCCCUUCAUUGUCUUGAGGUAAGUUUCCAUAGUGCGGUGAAAGAAAUGUUCAUUAUGUAUGUCUUGCCCAUCGCUCUGUCGUUCUUUUCGGUUGUUUGUUAAACAGGACUUGUUUUACAAAAGCACUAGUCUGGCUCCUCAGUUUGUAUGAUAAACGGACUAUAGUGCUUUUGUAUGAAACAAUUGUUUACAAAAGCACUAUCGUCCGUUUGUAUGAAACAAUUGUUUACAAAAGCGCACUAGUCUGGUUCCUUGUGUCCUGAGUGGGACAGUAGUAAAAAAAUAACCCCAGCUCGUUGUUAAAUGAAAGCCAGAGAUUGAAGCCAGGUUGUAGAGGCACUCGCUGAUUCCCUCUGCAUAGAUGGAUCUUUAGAUAGUAUAGAUCGAUUUCUACACAUACUGUCACUUUGGAGGGGCCUAAUUUGGCCAUCCGUUAACAUUAUUUUUUAUAUUAAAUUGAUGGUUCCAGUAAUGCUGUGUCCUGUCUGUGUGUAUUUAUGUUAAUGAGGUGGGCGGGAUCAUUGUCCCUUCAAAGACCCAACAGUGUUUUUUUGGUCCUUAUAAGUCAUACUUUGGUCAAAAUAGAAAUGUCUACCUAUACCACAGUAUAAUUAGGUUGCUGUGUAUGAGGUUGUGUAGUUUGUAUCUGAAAUCUAAAGUGAGCUGAGUGACUACAACCGGGCCUGUAUGGCGAAAAGUCCACCUAAUGCAUACCUGUGUGUGUGUGUGUGUGUGUGUGUGUGUGUGUGUGUGUGUGUGUGUGUGUGUUGGGUGCGCCGCUGAGCACAGGGGGGAGGAGCGGGAGUUACGCACACAGCAAGCACACGAACAGGAGAGAGGGAGGCGAGUCACAAGAGAGCAACGGACGUUGGUCUAUGAAUUGAUGAAGAACUGGCCAAAAUGAUUACAUGUGAUUUCCAACCAAAGCUGAGGCACUUGGUCUUGAUGUAAAUCUCAGUUUUUUUUUCUUGUGUGUAUAAAAUAAGUAUUUAUAUAAUCAUUUGAUAGUGGGGUUUUUUACAUUAGUAAUUCAUAUUGCGCAUAAUUUUACAUUAUUGUUGGUGAUAAAUUAAUUUAAGAAUCAGAAGAGCCAUUUGGGAGCCGAACGAGAUUCUCUAAAAAGAGCCGGAAUUCCCAUUGCUAGUAUGUUGUGUUCAAUUGUAUUUUGCAUGCUGCUGUUCUUCUAUUUUAUAAUCUUGUGUUUUCUUUUUGCUGUUUUCCUCAGUUGUUUUGUUUGCUGUGUUAAGUCAACGUGCCUGUUUUUUAUAAUGAUUUGUGCCUACCUUGGUUUUUAUUGUUUUCUCUAAUACAACCUUUUUUCUUAAUUACAACAAACAUGUCUCUGCCUUAUCCACAGUAACUCAUUUGCGUAGGUAUUUAAAUCUAUAUUUCUUGGGCUGUAAGUCCCCAGGUGGCGUCACAGUUACAUUGGUGGUUCUUGUUCUCAAUAACUGUUAGCAGGCUAAAACCACAAAACUUCAGAGACAGAUGUGCCUGGAGAUGAAGACCGAAUAUCUUGUUAGGCGCACAGCUAACUGGCACCCCAAGCAACCAGUCGUACCGUUACUAGCAGUCCCUUUAAGAGAGACAGUAGUUUUGUCCCAAUUUCGCUAGGCUGCAUCAUUAGGCUGCAGAUACGUCACUUCAGCUGCGACUCGCCUGUUCGCCAUUCAGUCGACUUCUCCAAACACGGUCGAGGAAUGCUGCCGAUUUGGAGGACACAUCGGGCAUACCCCAUCAUGCAAUGCGAGCCAAUGCGUUCGAAGGUGAGGUGACUAUCAAAGAUGAUGCCGAGGUGACAGACAGAGGCGUGCAAUGUUUUUGAGAUGGAAGAAUGCAGUCCUGGUGAUGUUAUUGAUGUGACGUUACAAAGGUGAGGUGACUAUCAAAGAUGAUGCCGAGGUUACGGAUGUGGGGGGAGGGAGACCGAGUGGAGUUUUCAAUGUUGAUGGCGAGGUUAUGGUGAGGGAUUUGGCAUCGAUGAUGAAAUAUCCUUUGUCACAGUUGAGUUUGAGAAAGUUUAUUUGUAUCCAGGAUUUAAUUUCACUGAGACAGUUGGUGAGGGUGGAGAUUGUAGCAGGGGUGAUGGAGGUAGUGGGAAAGUUGGAUGUCGUCGGCGUAGCAGUGGAAGCGGAGUCCAUGACUGCGUAUGAUGUUGCCGAGGGGAAGCAGGUAAAGGAUGAACAGAAGGGGGACCAAGCACCGAAACCCUGGGGGACGUCUUGGGACAAAGGGGCAGGGGAGGAGGUGCAGUUGUUGGUCAGUGAGGUAAGAUCUGAGCUUGGAGAGGAGAGUGCUGGUGAUACUGGUGGUGGAUUCAAGCAGUGUUAAUUUUGGCAGCUCUUUUUGAUUUUUGAACUCAGACAUUUUAGUCUAGUUUUAGUCAACAAAAACUAAACUAAAAUGUAAUUUGUUUUAGUCUAGUUUUAGUCACAUUUAUUAGCCAUAUUAAACUCCUUUUUUCCCCUUCUCAGGCCCAGGGACCCCCUGUGUUGUGUCUACAACUGCAUAAUAGUCUACCUUGCAGUACUUGGAUGUCCAUUAGAUGUCCCUCCUAGGACAGGUCUAUAGCAGGGGUCGGCAAACUUUUUGACUCGCGGGCCACAAUGGGUUGUAAAAUUUGACGGAGCCGGGCCAAGAACAAAUGGUUGAAGUGUUUGUGUGAGCGAAUAUAAAUAAAUAAACAUGUGAAAAAUCAUUAUAUGAAAGGAUUUGGAUUUUAACAAAUAGCAAACGAACGUACGGUCACGAUGUGGCGUGUUAACUGCAGUUGAAAUGCGUGAGGCUUCAGAACCUGCAAUGAGUUUAUUAUGUGAAGCCUGUAACGGACCGUCUCAUCCAGCCGAGGAAACGCUGCCUGCCGUCGCCAGAGAACAGAGCAGAAAGGUCCGCGUGGAUCUCUGCUGGCCGACAGUCUGUUCAACGGGUCUUCAUGUUUCUCUGAAGCAGCCUGCUAACAGUCAGCUAAACUAAUGAAGCGCACAUUCAAACUCGCCGAAGCGUAAAAUAGUUGUUGCGGCCCGUAGUCGGACAAGAACUACUGCUGCACCAAUUUGAACCCGUUCUGGGUUCGUGGAUGACGUCAUCAUGACACGUUAAUAUCCGCCGUAUGUGCAUGUCUGUUGUCUGUUAGCUGCGUAUGAAUUUAGGGGGAAAAAGUAUUGUGACUUCGUCAACCACCAACAUGUUCGUCUCGUCUCGUUAACGAAAGUUAGAAUAGAUUGUCAUAGUUUUUAUUUUUUAAGAUAGUUUUCGUCACGUCUUAGUCAUGGAAAAAAGGUUUGUUAACGAAAAAAGGGAGAGAAUUGAGUGGUUAACGAUUGUCGUGGUCGAUGGCUCCAGCAGCUUUGCAAAAGGCUGCGUGUAUUCAACCAAGCGGUUGCAGCAAACUUAUUAAGUACACCGUUCAGUUAACUUAAAGCCAUUUAAAAUAUAUUUCUGGAAGUGGUAAUGACAUAAGCCAUCCAACAUGAGCUAGGUGAAGGGAGAACAUUGAUGUUAGCUGAAUAUUACAUAGCAUUAAAAGUUGAUUACAAUUUCAAUGACCUGAAAAUGGUCAUCUCUCAGCCUGAAGUACAUCAUGCGGCGGGGAUGACCGUCUUCCAAAAUCAAAUAAACCUAAAAAGAGCGCAGAUGGUUUAUGAGCGACAUGAGAAAUUAAGUACAGCUGUUGACGCAAGCAGGAAGUCCCCCUGUAGGCCAGACCGUCUCAUUUUGUCGACCAGGUCUACCGAGAAGGCUGGAGAUUACAAGGAUCCAGUUUAGCGACAUUGAGACACUGCUAUUGUUAUGCUAUAUGGAGGCCAAAAAAAAAAGAUCUGCUUGUUCUGUACAGUAGGAUUUUAAUAAAAGUUGCAAAAUGAAGAUGGAAAUUUAUUUUUGGACACACUGGCAUUAAAACCUGAUUGUCAGAAAUAUUAAACCAUGAAGCAGAGAGAAAGUAGCCAAUCGUAUGCAACGAUUGUAUGUCACCAAUACCUUCCAGCUGUGCUUGAAAGUCAUUUUGACUUUAGGCAAUUUCACCAUGUGAGGAAACACACUUUCAAAAAGCCCCCCUGAAAAAACAGAUUAUUGAAUAAUUCAUGCCAUUACAUUAUUAAUCAGCAGUAGAUUUUCCUGAAUGGUUACUGUUGUCUCGCACUCUAUUGCUGUUCUUAGGUGACAAAAUGCUGCACUCAAAGCUUUUUAGAGGAUAUCUUAUGACGAGGAAGGGUCAAUGGAACUCUUCUGAACUUUUUAUGGAGGGCACAAUCUCAGCCGGUCCCCCCUCAUCAACCCAUAAUCAUCUUUUUAUAGUGGCUUUCUUUUGGGACUGUCUCAAAUCUACUUUGCUGUAACUCACAUUACGAUUGCCCGUCAUCCAGUUUUUAUUACUUCUCCAUUAGAGUAAAUGUUUAAUUCGUCCUUGUCGCUGCAAGACAUCUAAAGGGUUGUGGGCACUCAACUCAACAACAGCCUCUUUUUAGAGGGAAGGAGCCGAUAAGCUGACUUGUACUGUCAGUAUCAGUCAUCAGAGGGUUGUCUGCAGUGCAAAAGAUGACUUUAUCUGAUUUGUCAUCCAUACGGGGUGGUGCCAGCAUCAUUGCGCUGCCUGUGGUGAACGCUCUGCCUCGUGCAGGCUACCGUUUCUGUUUAGGUCACUAAAUCCUAAACUGACUUCAUUCCAGGACUCUGGAUUGUGGGCGACUGUGGGUGAGUGGGGCGCACGGUCGUCCUCCAAUCAGAGGGUUGUCGGUUCGAUCCCAGGCUAACCUGCAUGGUGUUGUGUCCUUGGGCAAGGCACUAAACCCAACAUUGCUCCUGUAGCUGUGACUACAGUGUGUGAAUGGUAGUUACUGAUGGCAGGUAUCACUGUGUAUGGUUCUCCUGUCAUCAGUGUAUGAAUGGGUGUGAAUGGGUGAAUGAUGUCAUGUAGUGUUAAAGCGCUUUGAGUGGUCAGAAGACUAGAAAAGCUCUAUACAAGUACACAUGACAUGAUUAAUGAUGAUUUCAUGUUAAUCAUGAAAUCAUGUUGGAAGUAGAGAUGCUCCGAUCAGAUCGGAGCAUCUCUAGUUGGAAGUAACCCAGACCUUUAAUAAGUCAAGUCAUAAGACCGUAGAGACCUGUGAAAAUACCUCACUUUCAUCAGUCAUCUCUAAAUCAGACACAAUCACAUCAAGUUCACAAUAGGAAAGUCAGUGAUCAUGCCUACGGUGUGUGUGUGUAUGUAUGUAUGUGUGUGUAUAUAUAUAUGUAUGUAUGUGUGUGUAUAUAUAUAUGUAUGUAUGUGUGUGUAUAUGUAU